Long non-coding RNA from Anser brachyrhynchus (Pink-footed goose), 1572 nucleotides. The record is from Ensembl. Lineage: Eukaryota; Metazoa; Chordata; Aves; Anseriformes; Anatidae.
GAUUUAUGCCCAGUUGGACCUAGCUGACUGGUACAGUCAUAGAUCUUUCUCUUUGAGUAUCUUACAUGCUGCAUAGAAGGUAAAAUAGAAGUGGAAUAAAUGCUGGCUGGACACCUAGCAUCACAUUCAAAACCACAAAUUCAUCUUUCUAAAGCAACUUAUCUUGUUUAGGCUAGUCUCGAACAACUCAUGCCUACUUUCCAUCCCAUUUAUGAGAUCUCAGGAUGUAUUGUUUGCAUUCUGUUUACAAUUUAGCAUUUGACAACAAGUUGUGGGGAGGAAGGAAUCAUCUGUAUAAGGAAUUUAAAGAUUAGGUAUCUUCCAAAGUCUAUUCCAGCCUUUGAUAUUUUGAUGAAAUUCAUUCAUCUUUAACAGUAUAAAUCAACAGAUUAAAUUAAAGCACUGAUCUAUUUCCUAGUUAUUGUCAAUUUCUGAAAGACCACAGUGUAUCUUUUCUUUGCUACUUUAAUUUCGAAGUCUUCUGUUUUCAAUAACCAGGUCUAUUGAUUCAUCAAUGCUUGGCAAGUCAAAGUGAGGUAAGUUUCAUGUAGCAAUACAGAAUAAUCCGAUCAUGUUUCUUACUCAGUUCAAAUCAUGUAACUCUUGGUAUCUACAGUAUUGGUAGAUAUGCCUGAAUGAGUAAUGUGCCAGGGGAGAAACAGGACAGGCAAUUGAACUCAGCCUAAAUAUGGCACUUUCAUUUGGUCAGAUGCAACCCUGUAGACUCCACAGGCUGUACUUAACUGACUCAGCCACCCAACCCUGUGAUGGGAACUUAGGCAGCUAGGUCAGACUGCAGAUCACCACACCGGAAAUGCUGAAAAUUAAACAAUGUGAGUUCCACGCUCAGUGUCCCCCCCCCCCCCCAAAAAAAAAAAAAAAAAAAAAAGAGUCCCGUUCAUUCUGUAACUGAAACUUCAGGUGGGCUCCCAGAGGCCCAGGACCCACGCAUGGCAGGAGGGCCAUGAACAGGAGGCGACUGCUGAGCCAAAGCUGCUACCUCCUCUUUAACACAGUGUACCUCAGCCUUAGCAGCUGACUGGAGUCUGAAAGCAGCAGCAGAAGGUCCUAACUCCUCCAGUGACGGAAUAAUCUUCUCUCAGAGGACACCUCCAAUUGCAUCUCCCCAAAUCGUGGCAGGAAUCCAGCUGGGCAAAAGCCAUUUCCUCAGAGCUGAACUGAGGGUGCUUGAUGGUGGACAGUUCCAUGCAUGUGGAGUGGCACAAAACUGCACUUGCCAGUCAUCAGCACAUACAUUUCUGUUUGUAUCCAAGAAGACACAACAGUACAUUUUCCCUGAAGACCUGAGUUAGUUCAUUCCAGGCCAGCAUAAAUAAUGUAUUUUUCUACACAAUUAAGUUAAUUUUGCUUAUUAUUCAGAGCAAGAGCUGGGUGUGCUCUACAAGUGACUCAUGUACAAGCCCUUGACUGAACAAUCUGAAGGAGGGUGUAUGUAUUUAUGCAGAGGGACUAUAAAAAUGGGGAUAAGUAUAACAUGAUAGUAUGCACAGCCUUUGUUUGCAAUACAUUUUACACUGAUGGAUUUCAAAUAAACGAGCUAUCGCUUCACCA